Molecule: long non-coding RNA, 329 nt
Filed under: Brassica napus (rape)
Lineage: Eukaryota; Viridiplantae; Streptophyta; Magnoliopsida; Brassicales; Brassicaceae
Description: long non-coding RNA (BNAP_LNC023340)
Source: RNAcentral
CGCGACCACCAAAACCUUACACCCCGUUCGUCGAUUGGCCCCGACAAACACGCCAGCCGUCUUAAACAAACGCAAUUUGAUCACUCUUUUGAUCUUUAAAAACGUCCAGCACAAGGACAAAAGCGCGCUACAACAAAAAUCCAAAAUUUUGGUUUAGCACUUCCAGAUAAUUCUGAGAAGAUGCUCGAUUCGUACCAUACAAGUCAUAUAAGCCGAGAACAUAUCGCGGACUUAAAAUCGGUGCGAAUCAGGAAGAAAUCGCAACAGGAAAAACGAUAGCCGCUAGUCACCGCAUAAACCUUAACCGAAAGUAAACCUAGGUCUUGCCC